Molecule: ribosomal RNA, 167 nt
Filed under: Sanguirana luzonensis (Luzon frog)
Lineage: Eukaryota; Metazoa; Chordata; Amphibia; Anura; Ranidae
Description: partial 16S ribosomal RNA
Source: RNAcentral
GCCUAACAUCUAGCCCACACUACCCGCAUGAACCUUUUCUACACCCCCAUACACAACAAAACAUUUUAUCUCUUUAGUACAGGCGAUCGAAAAACUUAUAGGCGCUUCAGAUUAAGUACCGCAAGGGAAAGAUGAAAUAAAAAUGAAAUAAUUUAAAGCCCCAAAUA